UAGUAAAAAAAUUAUUUAUUUUUAUAGUUAAAAACUAGUGUUGUUGACAGAAUAACUAGAAAAUUAUAUGUGACAUGUAAUGUAUACCUUAUCCUGACGUACAUGAAUCGAUUUUUAAUAGUAGAAAUAAAUAAAUUUUUUAAUA
Molecule: microRNA precursor, 145 nt
Filed under: Gossypium hirsutum (cotton)
Lineage: Eukaryota; Viridiplantae; Streptophyta; Magnoliopsida; Malvales; Malvaceae
Description: MIR7502 microRNA precursor family
Rfam family: MIR7502 microRNA precursor family
Source: Rfam by way of RNAcentral